UACGUAGGGUGCAAGCGUUAAUCGGAAUUACUGGGCGUAAAGCGUGCGCAGGCGGUUAUGCAAGACAGAGGUGAAAUCCCCGGGCUCAACCUGGGAACUGCCUUUGUGACUGCAUAGCUAGAGUACGGCAGAGGGGGAUGGAAUUCCGCGUGUAGCAGUGAAAUGCGUAGAUAUGCGGAGGAACACCGAUGGCGAAGGCAAUCCCCUGGGCCUGCACUGACGCUCAUGCACGAAAGCGUGGGGAGCAAACAGG
RNAcentral lists this ribosomal RNA (253 nucleotides) under uncultured bacterium. RNAcentral describes it as "partial 16S ribosomal RNA". It matches the Rfam family "Bacterial small subunit ribosomal RNA", at positions 524 to 776 of the family's 1533-position model. The record is from RNAcentral.